UUCCAGACUCCUACGGGAGGCAGCAGUGGGGAAUAUUGCACAAUGGGGGAAACCCUGAUGCAGCGACGCCGCGUGAGUGAAGAAGUAUUUCGGUAUGUAAAGCUCUAUCAGCAGGGAAGAAGAGAGACGGUACCUGACUAAGAAGCCCCGGCUAACUACGUGCCAGCAGCCGCGGUAAUACGUAGGGGGCAAGCGUUAUCCGGAUUUACUGGGUGUAAAGGGAGCGUAGACGGCUGUGCAAGUCUGAAGUGAAAGCCCAGGGCUCAACCCUGGGACUGCUUUUGAAACUGGCAAACUGGAGUGUGUGAGAGGAUAGUGGAAUUCCAGGUGUAGGAGUGAAAUCCGUAGAUAUCUGGAGGAACAUCAGUGGCGAAGGCGACUAUCUGGCACAUAACUGACGCUGAGGAGCGAAAGCGUGGGUAGCAAACAGGAUUAGAUACCCGGGUAUA
This 449-nucleotide ribosomal RNA is filed under the name uncultured bacterium. Its description in RNAcentral is "partial 16S ribosomal RNA". It matches the Rfam family "Bacterial small subunit ribosomal RNA", at positions 329 to 794 of the family's 1533-position model. The record is from RNAcentral.